This is a long non-coding RNA of Lotus japonicus, 1159 nucleotides long. RefSeq lists it as uncharacterized. The record is from RefSeq and is a predicted model, not a curated record. Lineage: Eukaryota; Viridiplantae; Streptophyta; Magnoliopsida; Fabales; Fabaceae. The transcript has 2 exons.
CCUUGGCCUCCAUUAGAACCAACUCUAUCGAAUUAGGAAGUUUUAAACCAUUGAAAUUUGGAGUCAACCACAACCGCACUACCUUCACAAUAACCUUCCACACAUCCUUUUCCUUUGAAAUGGAAGAGACAUCGUCAACACUAAGACCGUCAUGACAAUUUUUAGAUUGAAUAGUGAUAGAUGGAUGCACAUCCGGAAGAGUGAAUCAUUUUUUCUUUUGUACUAUUAUUUCUUUUGUUUUUUCCAGUUACUUUUUUCUAAUUUUAAGAAUCAUAUUUUUAAGGCUUAAUACAUCAUAAGACCCCUGAAUUUGUAAAAAAAACUCAACCACCAGAUCUGAAACCGAAACCGAAACCAAGCCAUGCCGACAGAUGGGUAGAUCGAACCAAGCGAAAAAGGUGGUGCCUUUGUGAGGAUGAGACCUUCUUGAGCAGCAAAUCUGGGUUAAUCAUGUGGACCUUCUUUAUCUUGUUCGUUGUUCCAGAUCAAAGAGAGCGGCCGUGAGUUUGACACCUUAGCCUACGCCAAUCACCACGCCGUCAUCUCUUACUUCUGGGGUGUGGGUUUUCUGGGGUUGGGAGUGGGUUUAUGGGUUUGGUGUUUUUUUUUGGUGGGGAUGGGUUUAUGGGGGCUCGAUUUGUGCAUAGAUUUUCUGGGUUGUGUGAAUUUGAUGACCAGAUCUGUUAGGUGAGGAUGGAGGCGAACCAGUUCUGUUUCCUCGACGGCGACGGCGACGGCGUUAGGCGGCGGAGAAGGCGAAGCAGGUCCAUUCCAUUCCAUUCCUUCGCUUCCCCUUCCCUUUCCAUGUUCAUACAACGCCUCCUAUCUCGUAACCAUGACCAAGAGAACAAAGAAGGCUGGCAUCGUUGGAAAAUACAAUGUGUAUUGCUUUUUUUUGUUGUUGUUAGCUCAUGCUGAUUAUUGAUGUAUAUAAGCUUGAGUUUCCAGAGGAAUGAUUGUUCCAUUUCAUUCUUAUUGAUAAGUAUUGCUAGAACACUUUUUGUGUACGCACUUUGAUAAAAGAUGUUAACUUUUCCCCUUCUGCAUUCUUUGAUGAAAUGAACAAAUUUCAGUCUUUUACAUGUGAUGAUUAGUUUCACAGCUUCCUUUUGUUGUUUGCUGCUACUGCAAAAAUAAGAAUAUAUGUCUGGAUUUAAGA